AUUGAAAAUCAGUAUAGCGCUGCAUGUGCCAAACAGCUGCUGAAUGUUGAAACUUAUUAGAAGCCAGAACAAUCCUCGUACCUCUGUGGUCUCUGAGUGUGUCUGUUAUCCCAGGUACCAUCAUCUUAAUUAAAUGGCAGUAAUAAUGGCUUUGCAUGGCUAUUAUUACAACAAUAUAAAGUUGCCACAUCAACGAAGAGCACUAGACAAUCUCAGUUUUCCAAGUUCAAUUUCAGUUCAUACAUUGUUGAAGAAUAGAAGGUCAAAAUCUGAUAAGUCAGAUAAUGAUAAAUUUCCUAGACUCCUGGUGAAAAUGCGACAGACAGAAUUGCCUCCAUCAAAAUAUGGUACCAAUGGUAGAGCUGUUAAAAUGGUCCCAGCAAGUGAGGUAGUCAAAAGAAAGACAAUGUCAGAGAAUAAAGUGGAAAGGGUGAGUGGUUCAAAGCAAACUGUUAAUGGAGCAAGUUUGGUAAGAAGAGAUUAUACCACAGCCUUGACAAAGACAAUGAAAUCUAAAAGCUCUAAAGAACUUCCACCAUUGGAAGACCUAAAAGUUUUGCCCUCAGACGAAGGCUUCAGUUGGGCCAAUGAAAAUUACAAUUCCUGGCAGAGGUCUAUUGAUGUUUGGUCGUUUGUCAUUUCUUUACGCAUUCGUAUUCUGCUGGAGAAUGCAAAAUGGGCAUAUCUGGGUGGCUUUACAGAAGAAAAGCAGAAAAGCAGAAGGCAAAAAACUGCUGCAUGGCUAAGGGAGUGUGUAUUACAACUUGGCCCAACUUUCAUCAAACUUGGACAGUUAUCGUCAACAAGGUCGGAUCUAUUUCCCCGUGAAUUCGUGGAUGAGCUUGCAAAAUUGCAGGACAAAGUCCCUGCUUUUUCUCCAAAGAAAGCAAGAGGCUUUAUUGAGAGUGAAUUAGGAGCGCCCAUAAAUGUGUUGUUUAAAGAGUUUGAGGAUCGGCCCAUUGCAGCUGCUAGCCUUGGUCAGGUUCAUCGUGCCAUUCUGCACAAUGGAGAAAAAGUGGUUGUCAAAGUUCAAAGGCCUGGCUUGAAGAAGCUUUUUGACAUCGACUUGCGAAACUUGAAGCUGAUUGCAGAGUAUUUUCAGAGAAGUGAAACUCUAGGUGGUCCAACUAGAGAUUGGGUUGGUAUUUAUGAAGAAUGUUCAAUGAUUUUGUAUCAAGAAAUAGAUUAUAUAAAUGAAGGGAAGAAUGCUGACAGGUUCCGCCGAGAUUUUCGAAACAUAAAGUGGGUCCGAGUGCCUCUUGUUUGUUGGGAUUAUACUGCAUCAAAGGUGUUGACGUUGGAGUAUGUACCAGGUAUCAAAAUAAAUGAAGUGGAUAUGUUAGCUUCGCGUGGUUAUGAUCGAUUACGGAUCUCCUCACGUACUAUUGAGGCUUACUUGAUUCAGAUAUUGAGAACAGGUUUCUUUCAUGCUGAUCCACAUCCUGGAAAUCUUGCUGUAGAUGUUGAUGAAGCAAUUAUUUAUUAUGACUUUGGCAUGAUGGGGGAGAUAAAAUCUUUCACCAGAGAGAGACUGCUUGAACUGUUUUAUGCUGUUUAUGAAAAGGAUGCCAAAAAGGUUAUGCAAGGCCUUAUAGAUCUUGGAGCACUCCAGCCCACUGGUGACCUGUCAUCAGUGAGGAGAUCUAUACAGUUUUUCUUGGACAAUCUUCUAAGCCAAACACCAGACCAGCAACAGACUUUAUCUGCAAUUGGGGAGGAUUUAUUUGCAAUAGCACAAGACCAGCCAUUCCGUUUUCCAUCUACCUUCACCUUUGUUAUUAGAGCAUUUUCUACACUUGAAGGCUUAGGUUACAUGCUCAAUCCAGAUUUCUCUUUUGUGAAGAUUGCUGCACCUUAUGCACAGGUCAGACAGUCUAUGCCCUGUUAUUGUUCCUAUUUUCUGUUAAAAAUGUAGCACUUAUACGUAUUUAUCUUACAGGAACUUUUAGAUGUAAGGCAGAAGCGGCGCACUGGGCCACAACUUGUGGAGGAGAUAAGGAAACAAGCAGAUGAUGCGAGAACCAAUUCGAUAUCAAUGCCAUCCAGAGUUCAGAGAAUAGAGGAAUUUGUCAAUCAACUUGAGACAGGAGAUCUGAAACUGAGAGUUCGAGUACUCGAGUCUGAAAGAGCUGCUCGGAAAGCAACAAUAUUACAAAUGGCUACUAUAUAUACGGUAUUUGGGGGAACCUUGCUAAAUCUUGGUAUCACUUUAAGUAGCCAAGGCAAUCAAGCUUUUGCAAACGGAUCGUUCUUUGGUGCAGGUGUUUUUGUGUUACUAUUUUUCAGGUCUAUGCAAAGGGUAAAGAAACUUGAUAAGUUUGAGAAAAUGAUAUAAUCCGUUCCCAACAAAUUCAACUCCUUCAAUAGUCUGCAAAGGAUACAGAAACUUUAUCUCCAUGUUCUUGCUCAUCAACAUUACCAUUCAUAUUUUUGCAAAGAAGCAUAGUAAGAUAUACCAAUACAAGUUGUACAGAAACAUGAUUGGAGGGUGAUCUAGAUGAAGUGAAUAUCGUAGUUUUGUAAGGAGAAAAGAAAUUUGUCAUUAAACAUAGAUACAAAACUUAUCCAAACUAGUUUUUGUUUUCACAUUUUCAUUCUAAUUAUAGCUUCCCUAGUACUCCCAAGUUAAUUUUAGUAUAUGCCUUAAGAGGCUAAUUGUAUACUGACCUUCCUAAUUUACAUUGUUCAAUGCCAUUUAUUUAAUAAAAGACGUUUCAUUC
This is an RNA transcript of Abrus precatorius (Indian licorice), 2720 nucleotides long. It is a transcript of the gene named protein ACTIVITY OF BC1 COMPLEX KINASE 7, chloroplastic-like, with no coding region annotated. The transcript has 17 exons. NCBI's taxonomy places the organism in Eukaryota, Viridiplantae, Streptophyta, Magnoliopsida, Fabales, Fabaceae. The record is from RefSeq and is a predicted model, not a curated record.